CCUCCGGGGGAGGGAGUCCAGAGGGCCGGCGCUGCAGUUCUGCCGGGUUCCUGCGGCUCCUCCCCGUGGGGGCGAACACAACACCGAGUUUGUGCCACAUUGCGGCCCACACCUGCUGUAUUCCCCUCUGCGAAGCCAGAGCUUCGGCUAGGCAACGUCACACCUCCUGAGGACAGCCAGGAGGACUCCAGCUUUUGCUGAGCAUUGCAUCUUACCUCUUCCUUUCAAAGGCUCCAGAUCCCAGCUUACCUGUCCUCAAGCUUACCUGUGCCCCAACCAGGCAUCCCACUACCCCUCCAGCCCAGCCCAGCCCUAGAGCUCACCUCCAGGCCCUGGAGCCUGCCCUCCUGCCCAGAAUGACUCACCAUUAUUUCUAGCUCAAGUGAGAAGACGUGAUGGGGUGUCGGGCUGCCCGUUUGUGUAUCUAGGAUUCCUGAAGCAUCGGAUCAGCUCUUCAAGGAAGAGAGCUGCAGAUUCGUGCCUUGCCAGCCAAGCGAGGCUCUCUCUCCAGCUCUCAGGGAGCCCUGGGGGCUCUCCCGCUGGAACCCAGGCUGAUGCCGCUGUGUUUCCUGGGGCCGUAAGCACCAUCCCGAGCUCCCGGCCACCAGGCAGCUAGAAGGCGCAGCGAGAGG
This 632-nucleotide long non-coding RNA is filed under the name Cervus hanglu yarkandensis (Yarkand deer). Its description in RNAcentral is "lncRNA (ENSCHYG00000011975.1)". Lineage: Eukaryota; Metazoa; Chordata; Mammalia; Artiodactyla; Cervidae. The record is from RNAcentral.